AUCUGAUGAUGUGGACAGGUUACACAUAACUUCUUGAAUCUCUCCCAAUAUUCAUAUAGAGAUUCUCCAUGGUGCUGCUUGAUAACACAAAUUUCUUUUCUUAAGCU
This is a small nucleolar RNA of Coffea eugenioides, 107 nucleotides long. The record is from RefSeq and is a predicted model, not a curated record. NCBI's taxonomy places the organism in Eukaryota, Viridiplantae, Streptophyta, Magnoliopsida, Gentianales, Rubiaceae.